AACGAACGCUGGCGGCAGGCUUAACACAUGCAAGUCGUACGAACGUAGCAAUACGUGAGUGGCGCACGGGAGAGUAAUACAUGGGAACAUGCCUUUUGGUUCGGAAUAACGUCGGGAAACUGACGCUAAUACCGGAUAAGCCCUAAGGGGGAAAGAUUUAUCGCCAAUAGAUUGGCCCAUGUUAGAUUAGCUAGUUGGUAGGGUAAUGGCCUACCAAGGCUACGAUCUAUAGCUGGUCUGAGAGGAUGACCAGCCUCACUGGACUGAGACACGGCCCAGACUCCUACGGGAGGCAGCAGUGGGGAAUAUUGGACAAUGGGGGAAACCCUGAUCCAGCCAUGCCGCGUGAAUGAUGAAGGCCUUCGGGUUGUAAAGUUCUUUUGACGGGGACGAUGAUGACGGUACCCGUAGAAUAAGCUCCGGCUAACUUCGUGCCAGCCGCCGCAGUAA
RNAcentral lists this ribosomal RNA (450 nucleotides) under uncultured bacterium. RNAcentral's name for it is "partial 16S ribosomal RNA". It matches the Rfam family "Bacterial small subunit ribosomal RNA", at positions 29 to 523 of the family's 1533-position model. The record is from RNAcentral.